AAGGUGUGUGGGUUGCCACUCGGACCGGCCUUUUUUAUCUUCUCUGGUUGGUGGCUAUGGGUAUAGAUACAUGGAGCUCUGGCCAUGGAGGCUAUUUAGUGACUAGAUACAUGAGGCGACAACGAGGCUUGCCAUGUCCAGGGAAACAUGACAUUCAGGUCAACAAGGAGCACGGUAUGUUCAUUCUGAUGGCAAAAGAGAUGGAUCCCUGAUUUAUUAAACUAAAUGUGUGUACUCUUAUAUAGAUUAAGAGUUGCAACUAUAAAUUCUGGUGGGCUUCUAUUUCUCCGUUGAUGGA
This is a long non-coding RNA of Lolium rigidum, 298 nucleotides long. RefSeq lists it as uncharacterized. The transcript is spliced from 3 exons. The record is from RefSeq and is a predicted model, not a curated record. Lineage: Eukaryota; Viridiplantae; Streptophyta; Magnoliopsida; Poales; Poaceae.